This is a long non-coding RNA of Pseudoliparis swirei, 931 nucleotides long. RefSeq lists it as uncharacterized. The transcript is spliced from 4 exons. Lineage: Eukaryota; Metazoa; Chordata; Actinopteri; Perciformes; Liparidae. The record is from RefSeq and is a predicted model, not a curated record.
AUUGAACGAGCAACGUUAGUGACACUUUGAGGUUUCUACUCGGCUCUCUGGUGAGGAGUUGAGCUAGCCUCGUGUGAGCUAGCGGGUAGCUACUUUUGUAUUCGAGGCAUGGUGUUCUGCAUUUCUGUGUCGCCUUGGGCGUCAAGAACAUUAUAAUCCAACUUGGAUGGAACAACUUCGUGACCUUAAUGACACCCAGCAACACGAGCUAGAGAGACACACAAGCACCACAGGGGAGGAUCUGCAGCAAAGGGCCCACCGGAAAUCAAACCUUGGCCGCCAUGAUGACGACAACAUGGGGCACUUGAGUGUGAAUCUAGCCUUUUCAUUUUUAUUUACAACAUUAGCAUUGAAAAGAGCAAAAGUUGAUGCUUGAGAUGAUUUUUUUUACUGAAGAGGAUGUACGUCUUCCCCUUGUCCUUUAUCCCCUUACUCUUUCUUUUUAGGUGUGAUUACGACUACCAGCAUGAACCUCAACACCUUCUUUGCUGUUCCACUAGUGUGACCCAUGAUCGGAUACAAGUUGUCAAGGAUAAACGGGAAGAGAAUCAUGUCAGCCCACAGACAACCGGUUGACCUGUGAGUCUUCAAGCAGUAAUGAUGACUACGCCUGCCUUAAAUUCCAGUUUCCUGGACAUCAUGUCGGCAUGAGAUUCUGUCCCCACCUGUCUUCAGUCUGGACCCAAUGAGUUUUUUUUUUUUACAGUGCGUUUACAGUCACAUGGUUUAUUUCGAGGCUUUGUCUGAGUUUCAGUGCUGCAGUUAUUUACCAUUCAGGGUUGUUCAGAAACAUCCAAUUUGUCAUACUAAUUUGAAGGGCUUGCUGCUGUGAUUCUUUUGUGUACACCAGGAUUUCUUUGUAUUUUGGCAUUUUACACAAAUGUUUUUGAAAGAUGGUCAACAAAGUUGCACAAAUAAAUGUUUACAUGCU